GGGUCAGUAGGUUGGUCGUGCCACCGGUACGUACUGGUCUCACUGAAUCCUCCUUCCUGAAGACCCGUAAUGCCAUUAAUUUGGUGUUGCGGGGAAACAGGACUGUUACUUUGAAAAAAUUAGAGUGUUUAAAGCAAGCUAACGCUUGAAUACAUUAGCAUGGAAUAAUGAAAUAGGACGAUCGAUCCUAUUUUGUUGGUUUCUAGGAUUGACGUAAUGAUUAAUAGGAAUAUUUGGG
Molecule: ribosomal RNA, 238 nt
Filed under: Glomeromycotina sp.
Lineage: Eukaryota; Fungi; Glomeromycota
Description: partial small subunit ribosomal RNA
Rfam family: Eukaryotic small subunit ribosomal RNA (bases 40-238)
Source: RNAcentral